RNAcentral lists this ribosomal RNA (532 nucleotides) under Bacillus thuringiensis. RNAcentral describes it as "bacterial SSU rRNA". It matches the Rfam family "Bacterial small subunit ribosomal RNA", at positions 945 to 1476 of the family's 1533-position model. Lineage: Bacteria; Bacillati; Bacillota; Bacilli; Caryophanales; Bacillaceae. The record is from RNAcentral.
UUUAAUUCGAAGCAGCGCGAAGAACCUUACCAGGUCUUGACAUCCUCUGAAAACCCUAGAGAUAGGGCCUCUCCUUCGGGAGCAGAGUGACAGGUGGUGCAUGGAUGUCGUCAGCUCGUGUCGUGAGAUGUUGGGUUAAGUCCCGCAACGAGCGCAACCCUUGAUCUUAGUUGCCAUCAUUAAGUUGGGCACUCUAAGGUGACUGCCGGUGACAAACCGGAGGAAGGUGGGGAUGACGUCAAAUCAUCAUGCCCCUUAUGACCUGGGCUACACACGUGCUACAAUGGACGGUACAAAGAGCUGCAAGACCGCGAGGUGGAGCUAAUCUCAUAAAACCGUUCUCAGUUCGGAUUGUAGGCUGCAACUCGCCUACAUGAAGCUGGAAUCGCUAGUAAUCGCGGAUCAGCAUGCCGCGGUGAAUACGUUCCCGGGCCUUGUACACACCGCCCGUCAACACCACGAGAGUUUGUAACACCCGAAGUCGGUGGGGUAACAUCNUGGAGCCAGCCGNCAUCUAGUNGGACUAGCGGGA